Molecule: ribosomal RNA, 120 nt
Filed under: Chrysemys picta bellii (western painted turtle)
Lineage: Eukaryota; Metazoa; Chordata; Testudines; Emydidae
Source: RNAcentral
UUCUAUGACCUGUUCUCACCCUCAUGCUCUGAUCCCAUCAGGUCUCACAUGCUAAGCAGCGUCAGGCCUGCUCAGUACCCUGACGGCUGAGCCUCAAGAAAUCCCAGGACACUGCAGAAA